This 882-nucleotide ribosomal RNA is filed under the name Russula flavida. Its description in RNAcentral is "eukaryotic LSU rRNA". It matches the Rfam family "Eukaryotic large subunit ribosomal RNA", at positions 82 to 943 of the family's 3401-position model. The record is from RNAcentral. Lineage: Eukaryota; Fungi; Basidiomycota; Agaricomycetes; Russulales; Russulaceae.
AGUAACUGCGAGUGAAGCGGGAAAAGCUCAAAUUUAAAAUCUGGUGGCCUUUGGCCAUCCGAGUUGUAAUUUAGAGAAGCGUUUUCCGCGCUGGACCGUGCACAAGUCUCCUGGAAUGGAGCGUCAUAGAGGGUGAGAAUCCCGUCUUUGGCACGGACACACCAGGGCUUUGUGAUGCGCUCUCGAAGAGUCGAGUUGUUUGGGAAUGCAGCUCAAAAUGGGUGGUGAACUCCAUCUAAAGCUAAAUAUUGGCGAGAGACCGAUAGCGAACAAGUACCGUGAGGGAAAGAUGAAAAGCACUUUGGAAAGAGAGUGAAACAGUACGUGAAAUUGUUGAAAGGGAAACGCUUGAAGUCAGUCGCGUCGACCGAGACUCAGCCUUGCCUUGGCUUGGUGUACUUCUCGGCUGACGGGUCAGCAUCAAUUUUGCCUCUUGGAUAAUGGCAAGGGAAAUGUGACACCUUUACGGUGUGUUAUAGUCUCUUGUCGCAUGCAAGGGUUGGGAUUGAGGAACUCAGCACGCGCCUUCGGGUGUCGGGGCUUUGCCCACGAUACGUGCUUAGGAUGUUGGCGUAAUGGCUUUAAACGACCCGUCUUGAAACACGGACCAAGGAGUCUAACAUGCCUGCGAGUGUUCGGGUGGAAAACCCGUGCGCGCAAUGAAAGUGAAAGUUGGGACCUCUGUCGUGGAGGGCACCGACGCCCGGACCAGACCUUCUGUGACGGCUCUGCGGUAAAGCAUGUAUGUUAGGACCCGAAAGAUGGUGAACUAUGCCUGAAUAGGGUGAAGCCAGAGGAAACUCUGGUGGAGGCUCGUAGCGAUUCUGACGUGCAAAUCGAUCGUCAAAUUUGGGUAUAGGGGCGAAAGACUAAUCGAACCAU